This 450-nucleotide ribosomal RNA is filed under the name uncultured bacterium. Its description in RNAcentral is "bacterial SSU rRNA". It matches the Rfam family "Bacterial small subunit ribosomal RNA", at positions 8 to 507 of the family's 1533-position model. The record is from RNAcentral.
AGAGUUUGAUCAUGGCUCAGACAACGCUGGCGGCAUGCCUAACACAUGCAAGUCGAACGAGACCUUCGGGUCUAGUGGCGCACGGGUGCGUAACGCGUGGGAAUCUGCCCUUCGGUUCGGAACAACAGUUAGAAAUGACUGCUAAUACCGGAUAAUGACGUAAGUCCAAAGAUUUAUCGCCGAAGGAUGAGCCCGCGUAAGAUUAGGUAGUUGGUGGGGUAAUGGCCUACCAAGCCGACGAUCUUUAGCUGGUCUGAGAGGAUGAUCAGCCACACUGGGACUGAGACACGGCCCAGACUCCUACGGGAGGCAGCAGUGGGGAAUAUUGGACAAUGGGCGAAAGCCUGAUCCAGCAAUGCCGCGUGAGUGAUGAAGGCCUUAGGGUUGUAAAGCUCUUUACCAGGGAUGAUAAUGACAGUACCUGGAGAAUAAGCUCCGGCUAACUCCGUG